UCAGUCCUUUAAGUGAGGAGUGAUGAUUUCAUCACGACCUGACAUGUCCUUCGUUUCCAGUAAGGAAAACAAACAAAACCUCACAGUUUUGAAAAUAUAGCCCAGACAUGCUGAACGCUCAUAAAAGGGCAGAGAGACCAUGGAUGGAACAGAAAAAAUAGCUUAAAAUGUCAUCAGAAGCUGUUAUGAUCUUUGAGAACACAAGCCUCAGUCUUGAGCAGAAGAUAAGGAGCAGAAUGACCUUGCAUCCUCCAGCCAUAUACCUGAUGUUAACAGUCGAGGAACCCAAGGCCAACCCAAGGACUGUAUCGUGGUGUGCAUAGACCAAUAGGCAUCCAAUUGAUCAAGCUCAGUGAUGCUCUUGGGAAGAGAGACGACACUGCAGAGAUCCCAUUCAUCAGCUUUAGCAGUUGGGAAAGGAUGGGAGAACAGCUCAUCACAGAGCUCUGCAUCCUGCACCAUGCUCACGUCUGCUGGGAUGCUCUCACUUCAGAGGAAGCUGAGAGUUGAGUCCAACUCCAGGAACCUGAAGACCAGGCAAGCACUGCACAGUUCAGAUCCUUUUCAGUUAAGUAGAUCUUUUCAAUCCCAAAGUGAAUUUGAUUCUAUUUAUUCUAUUGCUGCUGCAUCUGUCAGUAGCGACUUUCUCAAGCCCUCAGGCUUCCAUCCAGCACCAGCC
Molecule: long non-coding RNA, 679 nt
Filed under: Coturnix japonica (Japanese quail)
Lineage: Eukaryota; Metazoa; Chordata; Aves; Galliformes; Phasianidae
Description: lncRNA (ENSCJPG00005016344.1)
Source: RNAcentral